GUCUCGGGAACUGGAUUUAUACUGGCCAAGGAUGACAUCACGCGGGUCUAUUUUGCGAAUUGAUCUUAAAACCUUCACCUGCAGAAGCAGUACAGGUUGACCUUUUCAUUUCGGAUAUCUUCACCAUCAAGACUUAUCGGAGGUUCCAUGGCAAGCAAAGUGAACAAACCAGAAUGUGGAAGAGGAAAGCCCAGGCACUAUACACAAAAUACAAACAAUCAGAAGAACUGUGAAGAAAGAUGAAUUUGGAGAGCUGUGCAUGCAGAAAGCAACUAGAUUUAAAAGAAGGACCUGUAGAUUUGAUUCUCUUCAAACUUA
Molecule: long non-coding RNA, 318 nt
Organism: Arabidopsis lyrata subsp. lyrata
Lineage: Eukaryota; Viridiplantae; Streptophyta; Magnoliopsida; Brassicales; Brassicaceae
Exons: 4
Source: RefSeq, a predicted model, not a curated record